This 253-nucleotide ribosomal RNA is filed under the name uncultured bacterium. Its description in RNAcentral is "partial 16S ribosomal RNA". It matches the Rfam family "Bacterial small subunit ribosomal RNA", at positions 524 to 776 of the family's 1533-position model. The record is from RNAcentral.
UACGAAGGGGGCUAGCGUUGCUCGGAAUCACUGGGCGUAAAGCGCACGUAGGCGGCUUACUAAGUCAGGGGUGAAAUCCUGGAGCUCAACUCCAGAACUGCCUUUGAUACUGGUGAGCUUGAGUCCGGUAGGGGAGCGUGGAAUUCCUGGUGUAGCGGUGAAAUGCGCAGAUAUCAGGAGGAACACCAGCGGCGAAGGCGGCGCUCUGGGCCGGAACUGACGCUGAGGAGCGAAAGCGUGGGUAGCAAACAGG